CACAGGUUUGGUCCUGGCCUUUCUAUUAAUUCUUAAUAAAAUUACACAUGCAAGUAUCCGCGCCCCGGUGAGAAUGCCCUCCAGAUCCUAAAGAUCAAAAGGAGCAGGUAUCAAGCACACCUAUAACGGUAGCUCAUAACGCCUUGCUCAACCACACCCCCACGGGAAACAGCAGUGAUAAAAAUUAAGCCAUGAACGAAAGUUUGACUAAGUUAUAUUAAUUAGAGUUGGUAAAUCUCGUGCCAGCCACCGCGGUCAUACGAUUAACCCAAAUUAAUAGAUCCACGGCGUAAAGAGUGUUUAAGAAAAAAAAACCACAAUAGAGUUAAAUUAUAACUAAGCUGUAAAAAGCCCUAGUUAAAAUAAAAUAACCCACGAAAGUGACUCUAAUAAUCCUGACACACGAUAGCUAGGACCCAAACUGGGAUUAGAUACCCCACUAUGCCUAGCCCUAAACCCAAAUAGUUACAUAACAAAACUAUUCGCCAGAGUACUACUCGCAACUGCCUAAAACUCAAAGGACUUGGCGGUGCUUCACAUCCACCUAGAGGAGCCUGUUCUAUAAUCGAUAAACCCCGAUAGACCUUACCAACCCUUGCCAAUUCAGCCUAUAUACCGCCAUCUUCAGCAAACCCUAAAAAGGAACAAUAGUAAGCACAAUCAUAACACAUAAAAACGUUAGGUCAAGGUGUAGCUUAUGGGUUGGAAAGAAAUGGGCUACAUUUUCUACAUAAGAAUACCCACCGUACGAAAGUUUUUAUGAAACUAAAAACCAAAGGAGGAUUUAGCAGUAAAUCAAGAAUAGAGUGCUUGAUUGAAUAAGGCCAUGAAGCACGCACACACCGCCCGUCACCCUCCUCAAGCAUGUAGUAAUAAAAAUAACCUAUAUUCAAUUACACAACCAUGCAAGAAGAGACAAGUCGUAACAAGGUAAGCAUACUGGAAAGUGUGCUUGGAUUAC
RNAcentral lists this non-coding RNA (961 nucleotides) under Sus scrofa (pig). RNAcentral describes it as "12S ribosomal RNA". It matches the Rfam family "Bacterial small subunit ribosomal RNA". Lineage: Eukaryota; Metazoa; Chordata; Mammalia; Artiodactyla; Suidae. The record is from RNAcentral.